CGGAGGCAGCAGUAAGGAAUCUUGCGCAAUGGGCGAAAGCCUGACGCAGCAACGCCGCGUGUGUGAUGAAGGUCUUCGGAUCGUAAAGCACUGUCGCGAGGGACGAAUAAGGGGCGGGCUAACAUCCCGUUCCGAUGACGGUACCUCGAGAGGAAGCACCGGCUAACUCUGUGCCAGCAGCCGCGGUAAUACAGAGGGUGCAAGCGUUGUUCGGAAUUAUUGGGCGUAAAGCGCGUGUAGGCGGCCUUGCAAGUUGGGUGUGAAAGCCCUCGGCUUAACCGAGGAAGUGCGCCCAAAACUACGAGGCUUGAGUGCCGGAGAGGGUGGCGGAAUUCCCGGUGUAGAGGUGAAAUUCGUAGAUAUCGGGAGGAACACCAGUGGCGAAGGCGGCCACCUGGACGGUAACUGACGCUGAGACGCGAAAGCGUGGGGAGCAAACAGGAUUAGAUACCCGUGUAG
RNAcentral lists this ribosomal RNA (459 nucleotides) under uncultured bacterium. RNAcentral's name for it is "bacterial SSU rRNA". It matches the Rfam family "Bacterial small subunit ribosomal RNA", at positions 343 to 793 of the family's 1533-position model. The record is from RNAcentral.